This 764-nucleotide ribosomal RNA is filed under the name uncultured fungus. RNAcentral's name for it is "eukaryotic LSU rRNA". The stretch from base 1 to 241 matches the Rfam family "Eukaryotic small subunit ribosomal RNA", at positions 1593 to 1831 of the family's 1831-position model. Lineage: Eukaryota; Fungi. The record is from RNAcentral.
UUGCUCUUCAACGAGGAAUGCCUAGUAGGCACGAGUCAUCAGCUCGUGCCGAUUACGUCCCUGCCCUUUGUACACACCGCCCGUCGCUACUACCGAUUGAAUGGCUCAGUGAGGCCUUCGGACUGGCGCCGGAGGGUUGGCAACGACCCCCCAGCGCCGGAAAGUUGGUCAAACUCGGUCAUUUAGAGGAAGUAAAAGUCGUAACAAGGUUUCCGUAGGUGAACCUGCGGAAGGAUCAUUACCGAGUGCGGGCCCCUCGGGGCCCAACCUCCCACCCGUGUUGCCCGAACCUAUGUUGCCUCGGCGGGCCCCGCGCCCGCCGACGGCCCCCCUGAACGCUGUCUGAAGUUGCAGUCUGAGACCUAUAACGAAAUUAGUUAAAACUUUCAACAACGGAUCUCUUGGUUCCGGCAUCGAUGAAGAACGCAGCGAAAUGCGAUAACUAAUGUGAAUUGCAGAAUUCAGUGAAUCAUCGAGUCUAUGAACGCACAUUGCGCCCUCUGGUAUUCCGGAGGGCAUGCCUGUCCGAGCGUCAUUGCUGCCCUCAAGCCCGGCUUGUGUGUUGGGCCCCGUCCCCCCCGCCGGGGGGACGGGCCCGAAAGGCAGCGGCGGCACCGCGUCCGGUCCUCGAGCGUAUGGGGCUUCGUCACCCGCUCUAGUAGGCCCGGCCGGCGCCAGCCGACCCCCAACCUUUAAUUAUCUCAGGUUGACCUCGGAUCAGGUAGGGAUACCCGCUGAACUUAAGCAUAUCAAUAAGCGGAGGA